CAAAAGGCACUAUAUUCCCUAACAAAUCCAACUCUUCUUCAGAAAACCAUAAGGCAUUAUGGUAGACAGGGACAAAAUAGCUCACUGUCAUUUUCUAUGAAACUAAACUGAUGAUUCAUCAACACAGGCCAUUGUUAGAAAGAUCAUUGUUCCUAGGUCUUUACAAACAUAUCGCUAGGCUAAAAGUGAUGUGAAAUCGGUGCCAUCUUGCUUACCAAAAGAUAUGACUGAAAGGCGCCACAAGAACGCUCCCCCAGCAGGGCAUAGUGGUUCAUGCCUAUAAUCCCAGCACUUUGAGAGAUGGAGGAAGGAGGAUCUCUUGAGGCCAGAAGUUCGAGACCAGCCUGGGCAACAGAGCAAGACUCCAUCUCAACACAAGCUUUUUUUUUUUUUUUUUUUUAAAUUAGCUAGGUGCUCGCCUGUAAUCCUACCUACUCAGGAGGCUGAGGCAGGAGGAUUAUUUAAGCCCAGGAGCUUGAGGCUAUAGUGAGCCAUAAAUGCAUGGCACUGAACUCCAGCCUGGGCAACAGGGCAAGUCCCUUCAAGAAAAACAAUUGCCACCUCAAACUGACAAACUGAAGAAGACAGACAGAUAACAAUUAUUGUGGUGCCAUGGCCAUAUAGACAAACCAGUCGAAAGCUGCUUAACUAAAUCUUUAAGACUCAAGAAAAUAGAAGUGGUAGAAGACUCUUCAGCGACUUUCAAAAUGGAAGAAUCUGAAUUAAGUUUCCAUUCUAAGACACCCUUUUCAUUUCAAUCUCCCUCCUUCCAAGUCUCCAGAUUCCUUGCUAUAGAUUGAAGACAAAAGGGAACUCAAGACAUGACACUAAUGGGCC
Molecule: long non-coding RNA, 837 nt
Organism: Gorilla gorilla gorilla (western lowland gorilla)
Lineage: Eukaryota; Metazoa; Chordata; Mammalia; Primates; Hominidae
Exons: 3
Source: RefSeq, a predicted model, not a curated record